GAUGAAGAACGCAGCGAAAUGCGAUAACUAGUGUGAAUUGCAGAAUUCCGUGAAUCAUCGAGUCUUUGAACGCACAUUGCGCCCCCUGGUAUUCCGGGGGGCAUGCCUGUCCGAGCGUCAUUGCUGCCCAUCAAGCACGGCUUGUGUGUUGGGUCGUCGUCCCCUCUCCGGGGGGGACGGGCCCCAAAGGCAGCGGCAGCACCGCGUCCGAUCCUCGAGCGUAUGGGGCUUUGUCACCCGCUCUGUAGGCCCGGCCGGCGCUUGCCGAACGCAAAUCAAUCUUUUUCCAGGUUGACCUCGGAUCAGGUAGGGAUACCCGCUGAACUUAAGCAUAUCAAUAAGCGGAGGA
RNAcentral lists this unclassified non-coding RNA (349 nucleotides) under soil metagenome. RNAcentral describes it as "partial contains 5.8S ribosomal RNA, internal transcribed spacer 2, and large subunit ribosomal RNA". The stretch from base 1 to 120 matches the Rfam family "5.8S ribosomal RNA", at positions 35 to 154 of the family's 154-position model. The record is from RNAcentral.